GGAUGAACGCUAGCGGCAGGCCUAACACAUGCAAGUCGAACGGUAACAUGAGAGCUUGCUCUUGAUGACGAGUGGCGCACGGGUGCGUAACGCGUAUGCAACCUACCUUUAACUGGAGAAUAGCCUUUAGAAAUGAAGAAUAAUACUCCAUAAUAUUAUCUUACGGCAUCGUAAGAUUCUUAAAGCUUCGGCGGUUAAAGAUGGGCAUGCGUUCUAUUAGUUAGUUGGUGAGGUAAUGGCUCACCAAGACUCCGAUAGAUAGGGGGCCUGAGAGGGUUAUCCCCCACACUGGUACUGAGACACGGACCAGACUCCUACGGGAGGCAGCAGUGAGGAAUAUUGCACAAUGGACGAAAGUCUGAUGCAGCCAUGCCGCGUGCAGGAUGAAUGCCCUAUGGGUUGUAAACUGCUUUUAUAUAGGAAGAAACCCGAGAACGUGUUCUCGGCUGACGGUACUAUAAGAAUAAGGACCGGCUAACUCCGUGCCAGCAGCCGCGGUAAUACGGAGGGUCCAAGCGUUAUCCGGAUUUAUUGGGUUUAAAGGGUCCGUAGGCGGGAAAAUAAGUCAGUGGUGAAAGCCUGCAGCUCAACUGCAGAACUGCCAUUGAAACUGGAAAUCUUGAGUAUAUAUGAAGUGGGCGGAAUGUGUCAUGUAGCGGUGAAAUGCAUAGAUAUGACACAGAACACCGAUUGCGAAGGCAGCUCACUAAACUAUAACUGACGCUGAGGGACGAAAGCGUGGGGAGCGAACAGGAUUAGAUACCCUGGUAGUCCACGCCGUAAACGAUCAUCACUCGCUGUUGGCGAUACACAGUCAGCGGCCAAGCGAAAGCAUUAAGUGAUGCACCUGGGAAGUACGGUCGCAAGAUUGAAACUCAAAGGAAUUGACGGGGGCCCGCACAAGCGGUGGAGCAUGUGGUUUAAUUCGAUGAUACGCGAGGAACCUUACCUGGGCUUAAAUGCAGAUUGACAGAUUGGGAAACCGAUUUUUCUUCGGACAAUUUGCAAGGUGCUGCAUGGUUGUCGUCAGCUCGUGCCGUGAGGUGUCAGGUUAAGUCCUAUAACGAGCGCAACCCCUAUCUUUAGUUGCCAGCGGUUCGGCCGGGGACUCUAAAGAAACUGCCAGCGCAAGCUGUGAGGAAGGUGGGUGAGACGUCAAAUCAUCACGGCCCUUACGUCCUGGGCUACACACGUGCUACAAUGGUGUUGACAGAGGGCAGCCACUUGGCAACAAGGAGCGAAUCCCAAAACGCUAUCUCAGUUCGGAUUGGAGUCUGCAACUCGACUCCAUGAAGCUGGAAUCGCUAGUAAUCGCGCAUCAGCCAUGGCGCGGUGAAUACGUUCCCGGGCCUUGUACUCACCGCCC
RNAcentral lists this ribosomal RNA (1366 nucleotides) under uncultured prokaryote. Its description in RNAcentral is "partial 16S ribosomal RNA". It matches the Rfam family "Bacterial small subunit ribosomal RNA", at positions 27 to 1395 of the family's 1533-position model. The record is from RNAcentral.